Xylona heveae TC161 is the source of this 108-nucleotide transfer RNA. It matches the Rfam family "tRNA". Rfam says of the family: Transfer RNA (tRNA) molecules are approximately 80 nucleotides in length. Their secondary structure includes four short double-helical elements and three loops (D, anti-codon, and T loops). Lineage: Eukaryota; Fungi; Ascomycota; Xylonomycetes; Xylonales; Xylonaceae. The record is from Rfam.
GGUCGGUUAGCUCAGUUGGUUAGAGCGUGGUGCUAAUACCUCAAUGGUUCCUUACUUUGUAAGGAAUAGCUGACGCCAAGGUCGCGGGUUCGACCCCCGUACUGACCA